Long non-coding RNA from Helianthus annuus (common sunflower), 1063 nucleotides. RefSeq lists it as uncharacterized. The transcript has 2 exons. The record is from RefSeq and is a predicted model, not a curated record. Lineage: Eukaryota; Viridiplantae; Streptophyta; Magnoliopsida; Asterales; Asteraceae.
ACAUAUAAUAAAAGAAACCUAAUUUGGGACACGUGUCACUCAAUCAGGCUUCUUAAGAGUGUUAUUCCCGCUCAAUAAUAAUUAAUCCCCGUGAGUUUUUUUUUGUGCCCGAUUCCGAUUAAAGAGAUAGAUCCGACCCAGUUUUCCCCUAUUGCUCCUCCUUUCAAAGCAAACCCUAUCGCACCCGAAUCGGUUUCUCUGCCUCUCCACCCUUAUUCUCUCUCUGAUAAUCUCAUGGAAGAUGAUAAUCUCAACCGUCUUUCAAAUCUCUGAUAACAUCUGCAGGGGCUUUUUUCCAUGGUGAGGUACAGAUUGUGCUCUAAUGAUACUAAUGAUAUGAGUACAAAAACCAGAGGCCCUUUUAGUACCAUGAGGUAAAAGGCUGAUCUGAGUCACAGUGCCAACAAUAGCCUUAACAUUGUUGCAAGGCUACUGGAUCCUCUUAAAGAGCAGCCUUCCAUCCGAUCAUUGCAAGGAUUACAAAGACAAAUCAUCGAUCAGAUCCUUCCUUUGUUUGAUUUAUUUGGAUCUUGCACUCACCCAAAAUCCUAAUCCUCAUUGUAAACCAUCAUGAUUUUGGUAGCCAACUUCGCCGUAGACUUUGUUGUUGAAAUGAUCUCUAUCUCAUCUCUUUCAAAAUUCUCCUCCGAAAACAUGAUCACAGCCAUCAUCAGUAACAUCACCAUGGUGGAUGACCUCGAAUCUCUGGAGAUUGUAAGUUAAUUGAUUCAAAAGGUAUGGUUUCUCGGCUGGUACCGGUAAGUCGCCGAUAUAAGGAUUUUUUUUAAUAUCAUGCAAAAAUUUCCACAAGGAUGAUCUACGAGAAAUGAAUAAUAAGUAUAAUGGUUCAAAUAGUGGACCAGGCAUUUUGCUAUCUGUAACCAUGAUGAUUGAACACUUUCAUGUAAAGUUGGCAAAAGGGGUGGGUCGGGAUAGGUUUUGGGUCAGUACGGAUAUAAGAAAAAUGGGUUCACGUUAAAGUGUUGUAUUGUGGGCAGGCAUGUUCAAACAGCUCGCAAGUCGAGGAAUAUGCCUUUUUACUAAUGCAACUAUACUUUAAAAA